GCCUACGGGGGGCAGCAGUAGGGAAUCUUCCACAAUGGGCGAAAGCCUGAUGGAGCAACGCCGCGUGGGUGAAGAAGGUCUUCGGAUCGUAAAACCCUGUUGUUAGAGAAGAAAGUGCGUGAGAGUAACUGUUCACGUUUCGACGGUAUCUAACCAGAAAGCCUCGGCUAACUACGUGCCAGCAGCCGCGGUAAUACGUAGGUGGCAAGCGUUAUCCGGAUUUAUUGGGCGUAAAGGGAACGCAGGCGGUCUAUUAAGUCUGAUGUGAGAGCCUUCGGCUUAACCGGAGUAGUGCAUUGGAAACU
This 305-nucleotide ribosomal RNA is filed under the name uncultured bacterium. Its description in RNAcentral is "bacterial SSU rRNA". It matches the Rfam family "Bacterial small subunit ribosomal RNA", at positions 337 to 634 of the family's 1533-position model. The record is from RNAcentral.